Molecule: long non-coding RNA, 895 nt
Organism: Acinonyx jubatus (cheetah)
Lineage: Eukaryota; Metazoa; Chordata; Mammalia; Carnivora; Felidae
Exons: 4
Source: RefSeq, a predicted model, not a curated record
CUCUGGAUGAGAACAUAGCCCAACAGAUACCUUGACUUCUCAGAUGGGUGGGACCAUGACCAGAAGACCUUCAUCAAUGUAGAGACAAACUUUCUGACCUACAGAAAAUCUUUGCCCUGUUUCUACUUCAUGUACCCAUGAAAAGAAAAUGAAUAACAAGAAUGACAUUUAUGUCACCCAGGACAAUGGAAAGAAGGGAUGUUCCUGCUGUUUGUGGCUGCAUGGUUGGCCGAGAAUACUACUCAUGUUGGCCCUAGAAGUACUCCCUCUAUUUCCAUCUCCAUGUCCUCUCUUCAGGGCUUAUCAACUUCAGUUGCUUCAGAAAACAAAGUGAGGUAUCUUCUAGAAACCUCUUCUCAGAUAUGACAUUUAAAGAGUUGAGUUGCUGUUAUUUGUUUGAUAAAAUCAUAUGCAAAGAAUUUAACCUCUUUGUGGGGUAGAGAUACUCACUGUUUCCUUCCCAAGUGAAGGACAAUGCCAUUUUUUUUAUAUAUAUCAGGAGAACUAGAUUAUACUUACUUUAUGUUGCUGGAAUAAGUACUGAUAUGCACACACACUCACAUCCAUACACAUGUAUACAAGCCUUCCUAAAACUGUAUUAUAAAUGUCUUCUUCAAUACUCUUCAGAGGUACCAUGAGAUUUAAUAAAUGUUAAAUUGUAACCUAAAUACUAGUCAUGAAUCUAUUCACCUCCAUUAUUUCUAAAGAACCAAAUUUAAUAUUAGCUAGACCACCUUAAUGUAGAAACGCGUGACCAACAGGUCAGUUUUACAAUUACUCAGGCUUCUCUGACUCCCUCAUAUUUAAAUCAAUAAACUUAACGUUAUUAAGGACUCUGCAAAUCCUUAUUUGCUUUUCAUCACUUUCUUCCCUUGGAUUCAUUUAGUGCAAAUAA